RNAcentral lists this ribosomal RNA (497 nucleotides) under uncultured bacterium. Its description in RNAcentral is "partial 16S ribosomal RNA". It matches the Rfam family "Bacterial small subunit ribosomal RNA", at positions 28 to 507 of the family's 1533-position model. The record is from RNAcentral.
GAUGAACGCUGGCGGCGUGCCUAAUACAUGCAAGUCGAGCGAACAGACGAGGAGCUUGCUCCUCUGACGUUAGCGGCGGACGGGUGAGUAACACGUAGAUAACCUACCUAUAAGACUGGGAUAACUUCGGGAAACCGGAGCUAAUACCGGAUAAUAUAUUGAACCGCAUGGUUCAAUAGUGAAAGACGGUUUUGCUGUCACUUAUAGAUGGAUCCGCGCCGCAUUAGCUAGUUGGUAAGGUAACGGCUUACCAAGGCAACGAUGCGUAGCCGACCUGAGAGGGUGAUCGGCCACACUGGAACUGAGACAAGGUCCAGACUCCUACGGGAGGCAGCAGUAGGGAAUCUUCCGCAAUGGGCGAAAGCCUGACGGAGCAACGCCGCGUGAGUGAUGAAGGUCUUCGGAUCGUAAAACUCUGUUAUUAGGGAAGAACAAAUGUGUAAGUAACUAUGCACGUCUUGACGGUACCUAAUCAGAAAGCCACGGCUAACUACGUG